This 290-nucleotide ribosomal RNA is filed under the name uncultured bacterium. RNAcentral's name for it is "partial 16S ribosomal RNA". It matches the Rfam family "Bacterial small subunit ribosomal RNA", at positions 775 to 1067 of the family's 1533-position model. The record is from RNAcentral.
GGAUUAGAUACCCUGGUAGUCCACGCCGUAAACGAUGAGAACUAGCCGUUGGAUCUUUAGAUUCAGUGGCGCAGCUAACGCAUUAAGUUCUCCGCCUGGGGAGUACGGCCGCAAGGCUAAAACUCAAAUGAAUUGACGGGGGCCCGCACAAGCGGUGGAGCAUGUGGUUUAAUUCGAUGCAACGCGAAGAACCUUACCAACCCUUGACAUCCAGUGGAAGUUUUAGAGAUAAAACUGUGCCUUUGGGAACACUGUGACAGGUGUUGCAUGGCUGUCGUCAGCUCGUGCCG